Molecule: non-coding RNA, 500 nt
Organism: Zonotrichia albicollis (white-throated sparrow)
Lineage: Eukaryota; Metazoa; Chordata; Aves; Passeriformes; Passerellidae
Source: RefSeq, a predicted model, not a curated record
UCAAUAUUUCAGAGGGAAAUGCAGAAGAGCAAAGGAGUUAAACAAAAGUUCAGAUAAGCAUAACAAAUGCUGGAAAGAUGAGAUCCUCCAAGCAGAGUGCUCUAGAAAGCCCUCCUGUUAAUCUGGGCAAGGUUCUCAUCAAUUGCUCUGAGGAGGAAGAGCUAUUAUUGGACUCAUAAGGAGAGAGAGAUCAUCCUUGAAGACAGUGCUGGUGGGAAGCUAGAGAAGGAAUGCCCUUCAUUUCCUAGGCCCUGAUUUCUUCCUUUUGGAUGGACAGUGCUGGUGAGGCUGAUUUCCUGUACCUGCUCUCCAUGUGGUCUUCAGGGCUUUCAAGAGAUAUGCACCAAAGAACAGCCAAUGGGAGGAAAAGACAGAACUGAAGGCAUGUGGUAUUUUCCUGCUGUUUGAAGUGGAUCUUAGACAAUUUGUGUGGCUGUAGGAAGCCCCAUGGGCCACAGGUUGCCUGCUUUUAAAAUGGGCAUCAUAAUACUGAACAAGGC